CUGUGACUGUGCAGCGCCCGUGGUGAUCUGGGGUAGGGGGCACCCCUACAAUGGGACCCCUCCCCCAUAAUCCUUUCUGUCCAGCCCCUCUCUCACUGGAGCAGCUCCAGGUCCGUUUCUCCUUUGCUCCCUCCCAGCCGGGGCUGAGAGGGUGUGUAGUGGCUGGAAGGGUUUCAAGGUCCUUGCCCCAUCCCCAGAAAGGGGGAGAUGGUGUGGACUUCUCUGGCCCAGCCCUGCCACCCUUAUUCAGCCCGGCUUUGGGCCGUCUGUGUCAGUGGUUUCCGGUCUUUUUUUUUCCUGGCUAAAAUAUUUUGCAAAAGACCAGGUAAUUGGGCAGUGGAGUGAAGAGGGGGCAGGGGUUACCCCCCUCACCUCCAAAGCAGGUGGUGUGAAUCUUAACAGCAAUUAAAGAGCAAGUGGUUUUGUCU
Molecule: long non-coding RNA, 428 nt
Filed under: Rattus norvegicus (Norway rat)
Lineage: Eukaryota; Metazoa; Chordata; Mammalia; Rodentia; Muridae
Description: long non-coding RNA NONRATT025865
Source: RNAcentral